Molecule: ribosomal RNA, 1427 nt
Filed under: Kocuria sp.
Lineage: Bacteria; Bacillati; Actinomycetota; Actinomycetes; Micrococcales; Micrococcaceae
Description: bacterial SSU rRNA
Rfam family: Bacterial small subunit ribosomal RNA
Source: RNAcentral
GCGGGGCGGCGUGCUACACAUGCAGUCGAACGAUGAUGCCCAGCUUGCUGGGCGGAUUAGUGGCGAACGGGUGAGUAAUACGUGAGUAACCUGCCCUUGACUCUGGGAUAAGCCUGGGAAACUGGGUCUAAUACUGGAUACUACCUCUUACCGCAUGGUGGGUGGUGGAAAGGGUUUUACUGGUUUUGGAUGGGCUCACGGCCUAUCAGCUUGUUGGUGGGGUAAUGGCUCACCAAGGCGACGACGGGUAGCCGGCCUGAGAGGGUGACCGGCCACACUGGGACUGAGACACGGCCCAGACUCCUACGGGAGGCAGCAGUGGGGAAUAUUGCACAAUGGGCGGAAGCCUGAUGCAGCGACGCCGCGUGAGGGAUGACGGCCUUCGGGUUGUAAACCUCUUUCAGUAGGGAAGAAGCGAGAGUGACGGUACCUGCAGAAGAAGCGCCGGCUAACUACGUGCCAGCAGCCGCGGUAAUACGUAGGGCGCAAGCGUUGUCCGGAAUUAUUGGGCGUAAAGAGCUCGUAGGCGGUUUGUCGCGUCUGCUGUGAAAGCCCGGGGCUCAACCCCGGGUCUGCAGUGGGUACGGGCAGACUAGAGUGCAGUAGGGGAGACUGGAAUUCCUGGUGUAGCGGUGAAAUGCGCAGAUAUCAGGAGGAACACCGAUGGCGAAGGCAGGUCUCUGGGCUGUUACUGACGCUGAGGAGCGAAAGCAUGGGGAGCGAACAGGAUUAGAUACCCUGGUAGUCCAUGCCGUAAACGUUGGGCACUAGGUGUGGGGGACAUUCCACGUUUUCCGCGCCGUAGCUAACGCAUUAAGUGCCCCGCCUGGGGAGUACGGCCGCAAGGCUAAAACUCAAAGGAAUUGACGGGGGCCCGCACAAGCGGCGGAGCAUGCGGAUUAAUUCGAUGCAACGCGAAGAACCUUACCAAGGCUUGACAUUCACCGGACCGCCCCAGAGAUGGGGUUUCCCUUCGGGGCUGGUGGACAGGUGGUGCAUGGUUGUCGUCAGCUCGUGUCGUGAGAUGUUGGGUUAAGUCCCGCAACGAGCGCAACCCUCGUUCUAUGUUGCCAGCACGUGAUGGUGGGGACUCAUAGGAGACUGCCGGGGUCAACUCGGAGGAAGGUGGGGAUGACGUCAAAUCAUCAUGCCCCUUAUGUCUUGGGCUUCACGCAUGCUACAAUGGCCGGUACAAAGGGUUGCGAUACUGUGAGGUGGAGCUAAUCCCAAAAAGCCGGUCUCAGUUCGGAUUGAGGUCUGCAACUCGACCUCAUGAAGUCGGAGUCGCUAGUAAUCGCAGAUCAGCAACGCUGCGGUGAAUACGUUCCCGGGCCUUGUACACACCGCCCGUCAAGUCACGAAAGUUGGUAACACCCGAAGCCGGUGGCCUAACCCCUUGUGGGAGGGAGCCGUCGAAGGGGGGACCA